AAUUCUCAACCAUGUCUUGAUUGACACGGCUUGGACUUGGGGGUUGCUGGCUGCGAAAGCAGUCGGCUCUCCUGAAAUGCAUUAGCGGCGGACAAAGCUUAGUCUGACGUGCACGGCCUCGACGUGAUAAUGAUCGUCGUCGCUGGAGCGUAGGACGAGCACGAAUAAAGUCUGUUUGCUUCCAAUCUUGGCUUUAGCUACUAGUUGGUGACGACGAACGCGGGCCUUUCUCAUG
This 235-nucleotide unclassified non-coding RNA is filed under the name uncultured Boletaceae. RNAcentral describes it as "sequence contains ITS2". The record is from RNAcentral. Lineage: Eukaryota; Fungi; Basidiomycota; Agaricomycetes; Boletales; Boletaceae.